AUGGCCCCGCCUCCGCGCCAUCUUCUACUACUGCCCGUUCUCCUCCUCGCCUCCCUGCUCCGCGCAGCGCAGAUGGAGCCCGCCCACGCCGCCGCCGCCGGCGACGGCGAUCGCGACGAGGGCGCCCGCGCGCUGCUCGCGCUGCUGCAGCGCGUGCAGUCGGAGGCGCUGCGCGCGCUGGGGCCGCGCGACUUCGACCCCAAGCUCUACGUCGACCUGCCGCUCGCGCCCGGCGCCGACCGGGCCGCCGCGGAGGCCGCGCUCGCGACGGUGACCACGCGCGGGGAGAUGAAGGCGUUCCUGGCCCGGUACUUCGCGACGGCGGGGUCCGACCUGGUGGAGGCCGACCCGCCGGACUUCGAGGCCGAGCCGCGCGGGUUCCUGCCGAGGGUCGCGAGCGGCGAGGCGCGGGCGUGGGCGCUGAAGGUGCACGCGCUGUGGAAGGACCUGGCGCGGCGGGUGGCGCCGUCCGUCGCGGCGCGGCCCGACCGGCACACCCUGCUGCCGCUGCCCGGCAGGGUCGUCGUGCCGGGCUCCAGGUUCCGGGAGGUCUACUACUGGGACUCGUACUGGGUCGUCAGGGGCUUGCUGGUGAGCAAAAUGUACGACACGGCAAAGGACAUCGUGCUCAAUCUUGUGUACCUCGUGGAGGAAUAUGGGUUCGUUCUCAACGGUGCCAGAUCCUACUACACUAAUCGAAGCCAACCACCACUUUUGAGCUCGAUGGUUUUGGAAUUAUACACGGCAACAGGUGAUUUGGGCCUUGUGAGGAGAGCAUUCCCCUCUUUGCUGAAAGAGCAUAGCUUCUGGGUAUCAGAGCUUCACAACGUGGAAAUAAUGGACAAUCAUGGACGGCUGCAUAAUUUGAGUCGUUACCAGGCCAUGUGGAACAAACCUAGACCAGAAAGUGCAACAAUUGAUGAGGAACUGGCCUCAAAGCUUAAUUCUACGGCUGCCAAGGAAAAAUUGUACCACCAGAUUGCUUCAGCGGCUGAAUCAGGAUGGGAUUUUAGCUCUCGAUGGAUGAGCAAUUCAACUGACAUGACAACCUUGGUAACAACAUUUGUUAUACCUGUGGACUUGAACACAUUCAUAUGCAAGAUGGAACGGGACAUAGCGGUCUUUGCCAAACUCAUUGGAGAGAAGGCAACUGCAGAACUUUUCUCACAGGCUUCAAAAGCACGCCAUACGGCAAUCGAGUCUCUUUUGUGGAAUUCUGAGAUGGAACAGUGGCUUGACUACUGGCUUCCCACUGAUGGAAAUUGCCAGGGACCCUACAAGUGGGAAUUGAAGUCACAAAACCGCAACAUCUUUGCUUCUAACUUCGUACCCUUGUGGUUAAAUGCACAUAAUUCAGGUUUGGGGCCAUUUCUGGAUGAAGCAAAAUCAGUGAGAGUCAUGAGAAGCCUCCAAGCAUCAGGGUUGGUCUGUCCUGCAGGAAUAGCAACUUCAGUAUCCAAUACAGGGCAACAAUGGGAUUUUCCAAAUGGAUGGGCACCAUUGCAGCAUCUGAUAGCUGAGGGAUUGCUGAACUCUGGUUCAACAGAAGCAAAAGAAUUUGCUGAGGACAUCGCCACGAGGUGGGUGAGAACAAACUAUGCAGCCUACAAAUCAAGCGGCGCAAUGCAUGAGAAGUACGACGUCGAGGCCUGUGGAAAAUCCGGAGGAGGCGGUGAAUACAAACCACAGACUGGUUUUGGUUGGUCAAAUGGCGUAUUAUUAGCAUUUUUGGAAGAGUUGGGAUGGUCCCAUGACAAGGAAAUAGGCUGCCCAUCCUGA
Molecule: ribosomal RNA, 1779 nt
Filed under: Triticum aestivum (bread wheat)
Lineage: Eukaryota; Viridiplantae; Streptophyta; Magnoliopsida; Poales; Poaceae
Description: partial small subunit ribosomal RNA
Source: RNAcentral